GACGAACGCUGGCGGCGUGCUUAACACAUGCAAGUCGUACGGUAAGGCCCUUUCGGGGGUACACGAGUGGCGAACGGGUGAGUAACACGUGAGUAACCUGCCCACAACUUUGGGAUAACGCUAGGAAACUGGUGCUAAUACUGGAUAUGUGCUCCUGCUGCAUGGUGGGGGUUGGAAAGCUCCGGCGGUUGUGGAUGGACUCGCGGCCUAUCAGCUUGUUGGUGGGGUAGUGGCCUACCAAGGCGGCGACGGGUAGCCGGCCUGAGAGGGUGACCGGCCACAUUGGCACUGGGAUACGGCCCAGACUCCGACGGGAGGGAGCAGUGGGGAAUAUUGCACAAUGGGCGCAAGCCUGAUGCAGCACCGCCGCGUGCGGGAUGACGGCCUUCGGGUUGUAAACCGCUUUCAGCAGGGACGAAGCUUUUUGUGACGGUACCUGCAGAAGAAGCACCGGCUAACUACGUG
This 465-nucleotide ribosomal RNA is filed under the name uncultured bacterium. RNAcentral's name for it is "partial 16S ribosomal RNA". It matches the Rfam family "Bacterial small subunit ribosomal RNA", at positions 28 to 507 of the family's 1533-position model. The record is from RNAcentral.